This 460-nucleotide ribosomal RNA is filed under the name uncultured bacterium. RNAcentral's name for it is "partial 16S ribosomal RNA". It matches the Rfam family "Bacterial small subunit ribosomal RNA", at positions 338 to 795 of the family's 1533-position model. The record is from RNAcentral.
CCUACGGGAGGCAGCAGUGAGGAAUAUUGGUCAAUGGGCGGAAGCCUGAACCAGCCAAGUCGCGUGAGGGAUUAAGGCCCUGCGGGUCGUAAACCUCUUUUGCCGGGGAGCAGAGGUCCGGACGUGUCCGGGCCGGGAGAGUACCCGGAGACAAAGCAUCGGCUAACUCCGUGCCAGCAGCCGCGGUAAUACGGAGGAUGCGAGCGUUAUCCGGAUUUAUUGGGUUUAAAGGGUGCGUAGGCGGGCAUUUAAGCCGGCGGUCAAAUGUCGGGGCUCAACCCCGGCCUGCCGUCGGAACUGGGUGCCUUGAGUGGGCGAGAGGUAGGCGGAAUGCGUGGUGUAGCGGUGAAAUGCAUAGAUAUCACGCAGAACCCCGAUUGCGAAGGCAGCAUACCGGCGCCCGACUGACGCUGAGGCACGAAAGUGCGGGUAUCGAACAGGAUUAGAUACCCCGGUAGUC